RNAcentral lists this long non-coding RNA (326 nucleotides) under Gossypium barbadense (sea-island cotton). RNAcentral describes it as "long non-coding RNA (GBAR_LNC013430)". The record is from RNAcentral. Lineage: Eukaryota; Viridiplantae; Streptophyta; Magnoliopsida; Malvales; Malvaceae.
AUAUAUACAUUUACACCUUUCACAAAAAUUACCAUAUCCACAUAUCACAUAUUUGAGCUUCUCAUCACCAUGCACAAUUUCUUAAUCAUAUAAGCAUAAAACCUCAAAGAAAAUAUAGAUACAAGAAAACUUACACUCGAAAUUUAGAGUAAGGGUUUAGGCUACUACUAAAUUCCCCAAUAACGCAUUGAAUCAUGUCCACAAGCAAUUAUUCCAAACACUCACCAAUUAUGCUUUCGUCGAAAAGCCAAAAGCUCAAGCUAGUUCUUCCUUACCUUUAUCUUGUAAAAGGCUCCAAAGAAUUUGAGACUUUACACACAAUAACC